Molecule: ribosomal RNA, 1466 nt
Filed under: uncultured organism
Description: SSU rRNA
Rfam family: Bacterial small subunit ribosomal RNA
Source: RNAcentral
AACGCUGGCGGCGUGCCUAAUACAUGCAAGUCGAACGCUUCUUUUUCCACCGGAGCUUGCUCCACCGGAAAAAGAGGAGUGGCGAACGGGUGAGUAACACGUGGGUAACCUGCCCAUCAGAAGGGGAUAACACUUGGAAACAGGUGCUAAUACCGUAUAACAAUCGAAACCGCAUGGUUUUGAUUUGAAAGGCGCUUUCGGGUGUCGCUGAUGGAUGGACCCGCGGUGCAUUAGCUAGUUGGUGAGGUAACGGCUCACCAAGGCCACGAUGCAUAGCCGACCUGAGAGGGUGAUCGGCCACAUUGGGACUGAGACACGGCCCAAACUCCUACGGGAGGCAGCAGUAGGGAAUCUUCGGCAAUGGACGAAAGUCUGACCGAGCAACGCCGCGUGAGUGAAGAAGGUUUUCGGAUCGUAAAACUCUGUUGUUAGAGAAGAACAAGGAUGAGAGUAACUGUUCAUCCCUUGACGGUAUCUAACCAGAAAGCCACGGCUAACUACGUGCCAGCAGCCGCGGUAAUACGUAGGUGGCAAGCGUUGUCCGGAUUUAUUGGGCGUAAAGCGAGCGCAGGCGGUUUCUUAAGUCUGAUGUGAAAGCCCCCGGCUCAACCGGGGAGGGUCAUUGGAAACUGGGAGACUUGAGUGCAGAAGAGGAGAGUGGAAUUCCAUGUGUAGCGGUGAAAUGCGUAGAUAUAUGGAGGAACACCAGUGGCGAAGGCGGCUCUCUGGUCUGUAACUGACGCUGAGGCUCGAAAGCGUGGGGAGCAAACAGGAUUAGAUACCCUGGUAGUCCACGCCGUAAACGAUGAGUGCUAAGUGUUGGAGGGUUUCCGCCCUUCAGUGCUGCAGCUAACGCAUUAAGCACUCCGCCUGGGGAGUACGACCGCAAGGUUGAAACUCAAAGGAAUUGACGGGGGCCCGCACAAGCGGUGGAGCAUGUGGUUUAAUUCGAAGCAACGCGAAGAACCUUACCAGGUCUUGACAUCCUUUGACCACUCUAGAGAUAGAGCUUCCCCUUCGGGGGCAAAGUGACAGGUGGUGCAUGGUUGUCGUCAGCUCGUGUCGUGAGAUGUUGGGUUAAGUCCCGCAACGAGCGCAACCCUUAUUGUUAGUUGCCAUCAUUCAGUUGGGCACUCUAGCAAGACUGCCGGUGACAAACCGGAGGAAGGUGGGGAUGACGUCAAAUCAUCAUGCCCCUUAUGACCUGGGCUACACACGUGCUACAAUGGGAAGUACAACGAGUCGCGAAGUCGCGAGGCUAAGCUAAUCUCUUAAAGCUUCUCUCAGUUCGGAUUGCAGGCUGCAACUCGCCUGCAUGAAGCCGGAAUCGCUAGUAAUCGCGGAUCAGCACGCCGCGGUGAAUACGUUCCCGGGCCUUGUACACACCGCCCGUCACACCACGAGAGUUUGUAACACCCGAAGUCGAUGAGGUAACCUUUUGGAGCCAGCCGCCUAAGGUGGGAUAU